This 524-nucleotide ribosomal RNA is filed under the name uncultured bacterium. Its description in RNAcentral is "partial 16S ribosomal RNA". It matches the Rfam family "Bacterial small subunit ribosomal RNA", at positions 28 to 523 of the family's 1533-position model. The record is from RNAcentral.
GACGAACGCUGGCGGCGUGCCUAAUACAUGCAAGUCGAACGAAGCUUUUUUAACUGGUGCUUGCACCGACUUAAACAACUGAGUGGCGAACGGGUGAGUAACACGUGGGUAACCUGCCCCAAAGCGGGGGAUAACAUUUGGAAACAGAUGCUAAUACCGCAUAACCACAGAAACCACAUGGUUUCUGUGUCAAAGAUGGUUUCGGCUAUCACUUUGGGAUGGACCCGCGGCGUAUUAGCUAGUUGGUAAGGUAAUGGCUUACAAAGGCAAUGAUACGUAGCCGAACUGAGAGGUUGAUCGGCCCCAUUGGGGCUGAGACACGGCCCAAACUCCUACGGGAGGCAGCAGUAGGGAAUCUUCCACAAUGGACGAAAGUCUGAUGGAGCAACGCCGCGUGAGUGAAGAAGGUUUUCGGAUCGUAAAACUCUGUUGUCAGAGAAGAACGUGUGCGAGAGUAACUGUUCGUGCAGUGACGGUAUCUGGCCAGAAAGCCACGGCUAACUACGUGCCAGCAGCCGCGGUAA